GCCGACUGUCAUAGACAUUUCAAAAAGUACAGCGACCCGUAGGAGGCUCGUGCCAACCCACCAAAUGCAUUGGUUGGACGUGAUGAGGAUUGACACUUCCUCUGCGACCAUUAUAUCAGCCGUGCAUUCCAGGAGCAAUCACGGACGAACAAGGCUGCUAGACAGAAGCAGCCUUACAAUCAUAGUAGCGAGUCCAAGUCGUUUCUAUAACGACAGUAUGAGCUCGCUGAAAGAAGAGGGCAGCCGGUCGAUCGUGUGGAAUUGUUCCGAGAAACACACGUUCGAGCUGGGACAUUCGUGUCGCAGGCCGCCGAGGAUGCGCAUAAUCAAAUGCUGGAACUCCAAUCCCAGCCUAUCCCAGAGGGUAGUCAGCCACUCUCUGAGGAUGAGAUAUGCGAUCAGGUGUUGGGUAG
This is a long non-coding RNA of Cucumis melo (muskmelon), 413 nucleotides long. RefSeq lists it as uncharacterized. The transcript is spliced from 3 exons. Lineage: Eukaryota; Viridiplantae; Streptophyta; Magnoliopsida; Cucurbitales; Cucurbitaceae. The record is from RefSeq and is a predicted model, not a curated record.